GGCCUCGUAGCUCAGUUGGUUGGAGCGACGGUGAUCUAAUCCGGAGGUCGUGAGUUCAAAUCCCACCGGGGUCA
This 74-nucleotide transfer RNA is filed under the name Desmophyllum pertusum. Its description in RNAcentral is "Lophelia pertusa tRNA". It matches the Rfam family "tRNA". Rfam says of the family: Transfer RNA (tRNA) molecules are approximately 80 nucleotides in length. Their secondary structure includes four short double-helical elements and three loops (D, anti-codon, and T loops). Further hydrogen bonds mediate the characteristic L-shaped molecular structure. tRNAs have two regions of fundamental functional importance: the anti-codon, which is responsible for specific mRNA codon recognition, and the 3' end, to which the tRNAs corresponding amino acid is attached (by aminoacyl-tRNA synthetases). tRNAs cope with the degeneracy of the genetic code in two manners: having more than one tRNA (with a specific anti-codon) for a particular amino acid; and 'wobble' base-pairing, i.e. permitting non-standard base-pairing at the 3rd anti-codon position. The record is from Rfam by way of RNAcentral. Lineage: Eukaryota; Metazoa; Cnidaria; Anthozoa; Scleractinia; Caryophylliidae.